This 180-nucleotide non-coding RNA is filed under the name Eubacteriales Family XIII. Incertae Sedis bacterium. RNAcentral describes it as "6S RNA". It matches the Rfam family "6S / SsrS RNA". Rfam says of the family: E. coli 6S RNA was the first non coding RNA to be sequenced, but its function was unknown until recently. Lineage: Bacteria; Bacillati; Bacillota; Clostridia; Peptostreptococcales; Anaerovoracaceae. The record is from RNAcentral.
GAAAUCCUGAGGUGUACGUUAAGGUUAUGUAAUUUAUCCAACAUUAUGAUUCACGGGAACCCGGGUUCCCGACACAGAUGCCAAGCCGUUUUUUACGGAAGGCAGAAUGUCGGGACAGGACAACCACUUGUCUGGGAUAAGCUGUGUGAAUUAGUGACCUGACGACAUUUUGGGAUUUCU